GGGCUCCAGGCAGGGCUCCUCGGCGUCCCUCCGGGCCCCGACGGAGGUGCCGGAGAUCUUCCGGCUACAAACCCGGGCAGGUGGAGCUCGUUAGCCGUGGUAGGCAAUCUGCCUAGGAGAGCAAACUCUAUACAAACCCGGGCAGGUGAGGCUCGUUAGCCGUGGUAGGCAAUUCACCUAGGAGAGCAAACUCUAAACAAACCCGGGCAGGUGAGGCCCGUUAGCCGUGGAAGGCAAUUCACCUAGGAGAGCAAACUCUAAACAAACCCGGGCAGGUGGAGCUCGUUAGCCGUGGUAGGCAAUUCACCUAGGAGAGCAAACUCUAAACAAACCCGGGCAGGUGGAGCUCGUUAGCCGUGGUAGGCAAUUCACCUAGGAGAGCAAACUCUAUACAAACCCGGGCAGGUGGAGGUCGUUAGCCGUGGUAGGCAAUUCACCUAGGAGAGCAAACUCUAUACAAACCCGGGCAGGUGGAGGUCGUUAGCCGUGGUAGGCAAUUCACCUAGGAGAGCAAACUCUAUACAAACCCGGGCAGGUGGAGGUCGUUAGCCGUGGGAGGCAAUUCACCUAGGAGAGCAAACUCCGAACAAUAAACCCGGGCAGGUGGAGGUCGUCAGCCGUGGUAGGCAAUUCACCUAGGAGAGCAAACUCCGAACAAUAAACCCGGGCAGGUGGAGCUCGUCAGCCGUGGUAGGCAAUCUGCCUAGGAGAGCAAACUCCGAACAAUAAACCCGGGCAGGUGGAGCUCGUCAGCCGUGGUAGGCAAUCUGCCUAGGAGAGCAAACUCCGAACAAUAAACC
Eriocheir sinensis (Chinese mitten crab) is the source of this 800-nucleotide long non-coding RNA. RefSeq lists it as uncharacterized. The record is from RefSeq and is a predicted model, not a curated record. The transcript is spliced from 4 exons. Lineage: Eukaryota; Metazoa; Arthropoda; Malacostraca; Decapoda; Varunidae.